UACAGAGGGUGCAAGCGUUAAUCGGAAUUACUGGGCGUAAAGGGCGCGUAGGCGGUCGCCUAAGUCGGACGUGAAAUCCCCAAGCUUAACCGGGGAAGUGCAUCUGAAACUGGCGGGCUAGAGUACGAAAGAGGGUCGCGGAAUUCCCGGUGUAGAGGUGAAAUUCGUAGAUAUCGGGAGGAACACCGGUGGCGAAGGCGGCGACCUGGGUCGAUACUGACGCUGAGGUGCGAAAGCGUGGGGAGCAAACAGG
Molecule: ribosomal RNA, 253 nt
Filed under: uncultured bacterium
Lineage: Bacteria
Description: partial 16S ribosomal RNA
Rfam family: Bacterial small subunit ribosomal RNA
Source: RNAcentral